UACGUAGGGGGCAAGCGUUAUCCGGAAUUACUGGGUGUAAAGGGUGCGUAGGCGGUAAAGUAAGUUAGGUGUGAAAGCCCGGGGCUCAACCUCGGGACUGCACUUAAAACUGCAUUACUAGAAUACAGGAGAGGUAAGUGGAAUUCCUAGUGUAGCGGUGAAAUGCGUAGAUAUUAGGAGGAACACCAGUGGCGAAGGCGACUUACUGGACUGUGAUUGACGCUGAGGCACGAAAGCGUGGGGAGCGAACAGG
Molecule: ribosomal RNA, 253 nt
Filed under: uncultured bacterium
Lineage: Bacteria
Description: partial 16S ribosomal RNA
Rfam family: Bacterial small subunit ribosomal RNA
Source: RNAcentral